This 253-nucleotide ribosomal RNA is filed under the name uncultured bacterium. Its description in RNAcentral is "partial 16S ribosomal RNA". It matches the Rfam family "Bacterial small subunit ribosomal RNA", at positions 524 to 776 of the family's 1533-position model. The record is from RNAcentral.
UACAGAGGGUGCAAGCGUUAUUCGGAAUUACUGGGCGUAAAGCGCGCGUAGGCGGCGUGAUAAGUCGGUUGUGAAAGCCCCGGGCUCAACCUGGGAACGGCAUCCGGAACUGUCAGGCUAGAGUGCAGGAGAGGAAGGUAGAAUUCCCGGUGUAGCGGUGAAAUGCGUAGAGAUCGGGAGGAAUACCAGUGGCGAAGGCGGCCUUCUGGACUGACACUGACGCUGAGGUGCGAAAGCGUGGGUAGCAAACAGG